GAUGAACGCUGGCGGCGUGCCUAAUACAUGCAAGUCGAGCGAAUGGAUUAAGAGCUUGCUCUUAUGAAGUUAGCGGCGGACGGGUGAGUAACACGUGGGUAACCUGCCCAUAAGACUGGGAUAACUCCGGGAAACCGGGGCUAAUACCGGAUAAUAUUUUGAACUGCAUGGUUCAAAAUUGAAAGGCGGCUUCGGCUGUCACUUAUGGAUGGACCCGCGUCGCAUUAGCUAGUUGGUGAGGUAACGGCUCACCAAGGCAACGAUGCGUAGCCGACCUGAGAGGGUGAUCGGCCACACUGGGACUGAGACACGGCCCAGACUCCUACGGGAGGCAGCAGUAGGGAAGCUUCCGCAAUGGACGAAAGUCUGACGGAGCAACGCAGCGUGAGUGAUGAAGGCUUUCGGGUCGUAAAACUCUGUUGUUAGGGAAGAACAAGUGCUAGUUGAAUAAGCUGGCACCUUGACGGUACCUAACCAGAAAGCCACGGCUAACUACGUGCCAGCAGCCGCCGCAG
RNAcentral lists this ribosomal RNA (515 nucleotides) under uncultured bacterium. RNAcentral's name for it is "partial 16S ribosomal RNA". It matches the Rfam family "Bacterial small subunit ribosomal RNA", at positions 28 to 523 of the family's 1533-position model. The record is from RNAcentral.